RNAcentral lists this ribosomal RNA (497 nucleotides) under uncultured bacterium. RNAcentral's name for it is "partial 16S ribosomal RNA". It matches the Rfam family "Bacterial small subunit ribosomal RNA", at positions 28 to 507 of the family's 1533-position model. The record is from RNAcentral.
GAUGAACGCUGGCGGCGUGCCUAAUCCAUGCAAGUCGAGCGAACAGAUGAGGAGCUUGCUCCUCUGACGUUAGCGGCGGACGGGUGAGUAACACGUGGAUAACCUACCUAUAAGACUGGGAUAACUUCGGGAAACCGGAGCUAAUACCGGAUAAUAUAUUGAACCGCAUGGUUCAAUAGUGAAAGACGGUUUUGCUGUCACUUAUAGAUGGAUCCGCGCCGCAUUGGCUAGUUGGUAAGGUAACGGCUUACCAAGGCAACGAUGCGUAGCCGACCUGAGAGGGUGAUCGGCCACACUGGAACUGAGACACGGUCCAGACUCCUACGGGAGGCAGCAGUAGGGAAUCUUCCGCAAUGGGCGAAAGCCUGACGGAGCAACGCCGCGUGAGUGAUGAAGGUCUUCGGAUCGUAAAACUCUGUUAUUAGGGAAGAACAAAUGUGUAAGUAACUAUGCACGUCUUGACGGUACCUAAUCAGAAAGCCACGGCUAACUACGUG